UCUCGGCGAUACUUCACUAAGGUCUGUGUAGCCCACAGUGCUGUGGGGAGCAUCAAAGGAGACAACGGAGAGGAGGAGAUGCUCCUUCCAGCUCCACACAAAGGCUACCUGUAGGUCUGGGGAAGCCUGCGGGGCCUCGUGCAGCCGGGAACAAUGAGCUUUGUUUGUUUCAGGCCAGGUCAGUUUCCGUGGGAACUGGAAUACCUUCAGUCUGGAAGAUUCCGCUCCUGCUCCACAGGCUUUCUCAACCAUGAGUUUGCAAGAGAAGUCGAUGGAAGCAAACCUGGCCAUGGCAGAUCUGAUGUUCCCAAAUUUGUCUGGGUAGAGGAAUGAGUCAAAGAAGUGAGAAAGCUCUUAAACUAUACCUGGGACCUUCAUUUUAUGUGAGAACACACCCGGCUAGGCAGGGGCCAGCUGGAACCAUUCUCUGGAGCCCAUUGUUAAAUUUUCAAAGUGAGCGUUUAUUUACACCUUGGAAAUCAGCAAAUGUUACACGUCAGGGUUUGAUUUUUGUUUUAUUGAUUGUCUAGACUUAAAGCAAAGAAUUGAGAAAAUGUUAAUGAUGGGGAUUAAACUGAACAGUGCCCUCAUCUGGGCAUUUAAAAUUUU
Non-coding RNA from Monodelphis domestica (gray short-tailed opossum), 609 nucleotides. The record is from RefSeq and is a predicted model, not a curated record. Lineage: Eukaryota; Metazoa; Chordata; Mammalia; Didelphimorphia; Didelphidae.